GCCCGCUCAGAACUACAAAGGAAGUUGACGGGGGCCCGCGACAAGCGGUGGAGUAUGUGGUUUAAUUCGAUGCAACGCGAAGAACCUUACCUGGUCUUGACAUCCCGGAGACCCUUAGGAAACUAGGGGUGCUUCCAUCUGGAAGAAUCUGGAGACAGGUGCUGCAUGGCUGUCGUCAGCUCGUGUCGUGAGAUGUUGGGUUAAGUCCCGCAACGAGCGCAACCCUUGCCUUUAGUUGCCAGCAGUUCGGCUGGGCACUCUAAAGGGACUGCCGGUGUUAAACCGGAGGAAGGUGGGGAUGACGUCAAGUCCUCAUGGCCUUUAUGACCAGGGCUACACACGUACUACAAUGGCCGAUACAAAGGGCAGCGACACUGCGAGGUGAAGCCAAUCCCGUAAAAUCGGUCUCAGUCCGGAUUGGAGUCUGCAACUCGACUCCAUGAAGUUGGAAUCGCUAGUAAUCGUGGAUCAGCAUGCCACGGUGAAUACGUUCCCGGGCCUU
Molecule: ribosomal RNA, 502 nt
Filed under: uncultured Desulfobulbus sp.
Lineage: Bacteria; Pseudomonadati; Thermodesulfobacteriota; Desulfobulbia; Desulfobulbales; Desulfobulbaceae
Description: bacterial SSU rRNA
Rfam family: Bacterial small subunit ribosomal RNA
Source: RNAcentral